UCUCCGUAGGUGAACCUGCGGAGGGAUCAUUACAGAGUUCAUGCCCUAACGGGUAGAUCUCCCACCCUAUGUUAUCAUCACUUUGUUGCUUUGGCGGGCCGCCAGGCCUCGGCUUGGCUACCGGCUCUCGCUGGUAAGCGCCCGCCAGAGAACCCCAAACCCUGAAUAUCAGUGUCGUCUGAGUACUAUAUAAUAGUUAAAACUUUCAACAACGGAUCUCUUGGUUCUG
This 229-nucleotide unclassified non-coding RNA is filed under the name plant metagenome. Its description in RNAcentral is "partial contains small subunit ribosomal RNA, internal transcribed spacer 1, and 5.8S ribosomal RNA". The record is from RNAcentral.